AUUGAACGCUGGCGGCAGGCUUAACACAUGCAAGUCGAGCGAGCGGCGGACGGGUGAGUAAUGUCUGGGAAACUGCCUGAUGGAGGGGGAUAACUACUGGAAACGGUAGCUAAUACCGCAUACCAUCAGAUGUGCCCAGAUGGGAUUAGCUAGUAGGUGGGGUAAUGGCUCACCUAGGCGACGAUCCCUAGCUGGUCUGAGAGGAUGCCCAGCCACACUGGAACUGAGAAACGGUCCAGACUCCUACGGGAGGCAGCAGUGGGGAAUAGUGGACAAUGGGCGCAAGCCUGAUGCAGCCAUGCCGCGUGUAUGAAGAAGGCCGUCGGGUUGUAAAGGACUUUCAGCGAGGAGGCGUUACUCGCAGAAGAAACACCGGCUAACUCCGUGCCAGCAGCCGCGGUAAUAC
RNAcentral lists this ribosomal RNA (406 nucleotides) under uncultured bacterium. Its description in RNAcentral is "partial 16S ribosomal RNA". It matches the Rfam family "Bacterial small subunit ribosomal RNA", at positions 30 to 526 of the family's 1533-position model. The record is from RNAcentral.